RNAcentral lists this unclassified non-coding RNA (240 nucleotides) under soil metagenome. RNAcentral describes it as "partial contains 5.8S ribosomal RNA, internal transcribed spacer 2, and large subunit ribosomal RNA". The record is from RNAcentral.
AACGCACGAGACCUGCGGACCUGCGGAAGGAUCAUUACCGAGUUAGGGUAGUCACUCACUGCCCGACCUCCCAACCCUGCGUCUACCACACUUUGUCGUUGCUUCGGCGGACCGGUUGACCAACUGGUCGUGACCGCCGGGGGCUGGCUCUGUCCCCCCUGGAGAGCGUCCGUCGAUGGCCCAACCACAAAACUCUUGUACCGAAACGUGUCGUCUGAAUUAUAUUUGAGAAAUCAAAAA